RNAcentral lists this ribosomal RNA (495 nucleotides) under uncultured bacterium. RNAcentral's name for it is "partial 16S ribosomal RNA". It matches the Rfam family "Bacterial small subunit ribosomal RNA", at positions 28 to 505 of the family's 1533-position model. The record is from RNAcentral.
GAUGAACGCUGGCGGCGUGCCUAAUACAUGCAAGUCGAGCGAACGGACGAGAAGCUUGCUUCUCUGAUGUUAGCGGCGGACGGGUGAGUAACACGUGGAUAACCUACCUAUAAGACUGGGAUAACUUCGGGAAACCGGAGCUAAUACCGGAUAAUAUUUUGAACCGCAUGGUUCAAAAGUGAAAGACGGUCUUGCUGUCACUUAUAGAUGGAUCCGCGCUGCAUUAGCUAGUUGGUAAGGUAACGGCUUACCAAGGCAACGAUGCAUAGCCGACCUGAGAGGGUGAUCGGCCACCCUGGAACUGAGACACGGUCCAGACUCCUACGGGGGGCAGCAGUAGGGAAUCGUCCGCAAUGGGCGAAAGCCUGACGGAGCAACGCCGCGUGAGUGAUGAAGGUCUUCGGAUCGUAAAACUCUGUUAUUAGGGAAGAACAUAUGUGUAAGUAACUGUGCACAUCUUGACGGGACCUAAUCAGAAAGCCACGGCUAACUACG